CAUCAAAGCUCGUUAAGAC
This 19-nucleotide small nuclear RNA is filed under the name Arabidopsis thaliana (thale cress). RNAcentral's name for it is "snRNA_00675". Lineage: Eukaryota; Viridiplantae; Streptophyta; Magnoliopsida; Brassicales; Brassicaceae. The record is from RNAcentral.